Sorghum bicolor (sorghum) is the source of this 385-nucleotide long non-coding RNA. RefSeq lists it as uncharacterized. The record is from RefSeq and is a predicted model, not a curated record. Lineage: Eukaryota; Viridiplantae; Streptophyta; Magnoliopsida; Poales; Poaceae. The transcript is spliced from 2 exons.
GACCGGAGGAUGUACUGAGCAAGACAAGAACGAAAUACUCAACCUAUGUAAAGACAACGUCAAGCGUGGUGCUCCUGUUGUUACAUUGCCACUAGACUGUCCCUGUUGCGUGAAGGCAAAAAAGGUCAAGGACAUGCUGUGCAUCCUCCAAUGGAUGACAUUUCCAGAGAAGAGGAUAUACGAUGAGAAUAAGAUUAUCCGCCUUCAAUGGUGGUGCAAAGUAAACCAGAUCACUGUGUAGAGGGUCGCAAAUGGAGUGGAGUGCAUGCGCGUAAUAAGGAGUGGCAGACAAGGAAAAACGAGUGCUAGUCAAUGAAAAUUAAUGAUCAAUGGGUCACAUAUUGUAAUAUGUAAUCUUUUUAUUAAUUGACUAGUGUUUGAUCAA